AUUGAACGCUGGCGGCAUGCUUUACACAUGCAAGUCGAACGGUAACAGGGUGCUUGCACCGCUGACGAGUGGCGAACGGGUGAGUAAUGCGUCGGAACGUGCCGAGUAGUGGGGGAUAACGCAGCGAAAGUUGUGCUAAUACCGCAUACGUACUGAGGUAGAAAGUGGGGGACCUUCGGGCCUCACGCUAUUCGAGCGGCCGACGUCUGAUUUGCUAGUAGGUGAGGUAAAGGCUCACCUAGGCGACGAUCAGUAGCGGGUCUGAGAGGAUGAUCUGCCACAACGGAACUGAGACACAGCCCAGACUCCUACGGGAGGCAGCAGUGGGGAAUUAUGGACAAUGGGCUAAAGCCUUAUACAGCCAUGCCGCGUGUCUGAAGAAGGCCUUCGGGUUGUAAAGGACUUUUGUCAGGGAGGAAAUCCCUAGUGCUAAUAACACUGGGGGAUGACAGUACCUGAAGAAUAAGCACCGGCUAACUACGUGCCAGCAGCCGCAGUAA
This 500-nucleotide ribosomal RNA is filed under the name uncultured bacterium. Its description in RNAcentral is "partial 16S ribosomal RNA". It matches the Rfam family "Bacterial small subunit ribosomal RNA", at positions 30 to 523 of the family's 1533-position model. The record is from RNAcentral.